ACGGGUGAGUAACGCGUGGGAAUCUACCGAGCCCUGCGGGAUAGCUCCGGGAAACUGGAAUUAAUACCGCAUGCGCCCUACGGGGGAAAGAUUUAUCGGGGUUUGAUGAGCCCGCGUUGGAUUAGCUAGUUGGUGGGGUAAAGGCCUACCAAGGCGACGAUCCAUAGCUGGUCUGAGAGGAUGAUCAGCCACAUUGGGACUGAGACACGGCCCAAACUCCUACGGGAGGCAGCAGUGGGGAAUAUUGGACAAUGGGCGCAAGCCUGAUCCAGCCAUGCCGCGUGAGUGAUGAAGGCCUUAGGGUUGUAAAGCUCUUUCGCCGGAGAAGAUAAUGACGGUAUCCGGAGAAGAAGCCCCGGCUAACUUCGUGCCAGCAGCCGCGGUAAUACGAAGGGGGCCAGCGUUGUUCGGAAUUACUGGGCGUAAAGCGCACGUAGGCGGACAUUUAAGUCAGGGGUGAAAUCCCGGGGCUCAACCUCGGAACUGCCUUUGAUACUGGGUGUCUUGAGUGUGGAAGAGGUAAGUGGAAUUCCGAGUGUAGAGGUGAAAUUCGUAGA
Molecule: ribosomal RNA, 557 nt
Filed under: uncultured bacterium
Lineage: Bacteria
Description: bacterial SSU rRNA
Rfam family: Bacterial small subunit ribosomal RNA
Source: RNAcentral